CCUACGGGGUGCAGCAGUGGGGAAUAUUGGACAAUGGGCGAAAGCCUGAUCCAGCCAUGCCGCGUGUGUGAAGAAGGCUUUCGGGUUGUAAAGCACUUUCAGUGGGGAAGAAAGCCUUGGGGCUAAUACCCUCGAGGAAGGACAUCACCCACAGAAGAAGCACCGGCUAACUCCGUGCCAGCAGCCGCGGUAAUACGGAGGGUGCGAGCGUUAAUCGGAAUUACUGGGCGUAAAGCGCGCGUAGGCGGUCUGAUAAGCCGGUUGUGAAAGCCCCGGGCUCAACCUGGGAACGGCAUCCGGAACUGUCAGGCUAGAGUGCAGGAGAGGAAGGUAGAAUUCCCGGUGUAGCGGUGAAAUGCGUAGAGAUCGGGAGGAAUACCAGUGGCGAAGGCGGCCUUCUGGACUGACACUGACGCUGAGGUGCGAAAGCGUGGGUAGCAAACAGGAUUAGAUACCCGAGUAGUC
Molecule: ribosomal RNA, 465 nt
Filed under: Vreelandella stevensii
Lineage: Bacteria; Pseudomonadati; Pseudomonadota; Gammaproteobacteria; Oceanospirillales; Halomonadaceae
Description: partial 16S ribosomal RNA
Rfam family: Bacterial small subunit ribosomal RNA
Source: RNAcentral